GAUCCCGCGCGCGCUCCGCCGCCCGCCCACGCGCGGUCGCCGCGUGACGCAGCGCCUGGCGGGGGCCGCCGCCGCGCGGGGGCGGCAUCCGCACCCCCAGCACCGGGGCCUGGCCCUCCCCGCCCCCGCCCGGAGGAGGCGGGCGGCCCCCGUGGAGAAACGCGGUCGCAAACUUUCCGCUCUCGCGGCGGGGGGGAGCUGCCGCCGCCGCCUUCCCCCGGGGCCGGUGCGGGGCCGUGCGGAGAACUUGAGUGAGCUGCCUUCCAUUCUUCUGGGGUGCAGCAGUGAUACCAGCUAACGGCGACAGCUCGGGGUACUUCAGGUAGCGAUGUUGAGGAUCCUCGUGUACAGCUUUAUGAGCUAAUGGCCAUUAGCUGUUCGAUUACCCAGGGUGCAACAGAAAUGCAGCCGCUUGUAUGAAGCAAAGGAGCCGGGAUGGUGCAUGUCGAGAUGGGGAGUCAAAUCUUCACCAGGGAUGCUCAAUACAAAUCCCUUCUCCUGCAAGAAGUUCCCAGGACACCUCUGACGUCCACCCAGUGUGAUUCUGUGCUGGGACUGUGCUCUGCUGUCUCCCUUCACCAGUAGAUCUGAGAACGCCGGGCAAAAAGCCAGAGGCAGACGAUGAGACAAAUAGAGACUUCCCCAGCAAAAAGCAAGGAAGUGUUAUUACACUGUUUUUUAGCACUGUCCUAUCAUUAAAAAAUCAAAUACUUUCCUGUCCAGGUACCGCUUCCACUUACAUCCCACAGAGGACAAACCAGUGCUGAGUCUGAUCCUUCUGCCAAACGUCAUGAUGUCUGGAGGUAGAAGUCUCCUUCAGAUGAUGUCUGCCCUGCACAAAUGGGAGGGGAGGGAUGGAAAGAGUUCUGGUAAUUUUAUAGCUGUUUUCAUGGUUUUAUAUUUUGAUUUUGAAAUGGUUGUAGUGUACGGAGAGUGUGUAGGUGAAAGCAAGAAAUUGUAGCGCAAAGAAAGUAAAUAAAUCAGGCGGAUCCAGUGAUGGGUGUAGCAGAUCUUCAGCUCAGAAGACAACCUCUAUUUUAGACCUCCUUUUUUUCCUAAAAAUGUUUGCAAGCUAGGGAAUAAAUGCCCAAUUUUAAGACCCUUAUCUAGCAUGAGGACUAUCUAGUCU
Phalacrocorax carbo (great cormorant) is the source of this 1129-nucleotide non-coding RNA. The record is from RefSeq and is a predicted model, not a curated record. Lineage: Eukaryota; Metazoa; Chordata; Aves; Suliformes; Phalacrocoracidae.